CAUCGUCAUUCAGAUUAUAAUGGUUCCUUUUACUCUGAUAAUAUUGCUGAUAUUUCUAGAAAUAGCUUGUUCAUCCAUUUAUUAAUCUCAUAAACCCCUGACUGGGGGAAACAGAGUGGAAAGUGGUCAGAAAUGGGGCUGGAACAGUAAUCAGGAAGCCGGAACCUCCAUUGCCUCAAGAGCUAAGUUCAGUGUCAGGCCUUUGUCUCGAGGGCAACGGGGAACUCUGUAAAGGUAUUUAAGUUGGGGAAUGUAGUGAUCAGCAGCAUUUGGCAGCAAUCACCCUGGGCUGGAGUGGGCCUGACAGGAAUGGGCAAAUCUUGGGGCAGGAAAUCCAGUCAGAAGAUUAUGACGAUAAAGCAGGUGAGAGAUGUUGGUGUCCCAAGGGCAAAGGGGGAUCCCAUCAAGACAUGAGAACCGCCACGUCGUUCUUUCCCCAAUCCCACUGUUUCUAGAUUUUUCCUUCUAGGAGGCCUGCAAAUGUGUUUCCGGGAGGAAAAUCCGUCCCUGCUAUUUCUCCAGCCUUCCCUUGUUACCGGUCCGGCCCUGCCCCUUUAACAUUCAGGAAUGAGAGUGGAAGCAGAAGGCCCAGGUCCCCGGAGGUCCCGACGCCCGGAUUCCACAGCCUGUGAGGGUCCCUUGAGCAGAGCGGGACGAGGCCACUGGCACUACGUCGUGACUUCACCAACAGCCUGCAGUACUCGUUAACGAGAUUUCGCCAGGCCCCUUGGACUAACGCCAGGAUUCUCGGUGCCCGCAGUCAGCGCUCUGGGAUUAGACAACGCCCCACAGGCCGCGGCUCUCUGCUGACCCUCAGCAGCGAUGAGACCGGCGCGCACAAGCCAGCAGCCACUAGCUCUCCCACAAGGCCGAGCGCGGCCAAAGGGCAGCCCCGCCCGCUCCGCCUCCCCCAGCUCUAUUGGCUAGUGCACCUGCCACUCAGCCGCGCGCCGGACUCCGGCUUCGGGCCUGGAGGAGGGAUCCCAAGCCUCCUCGGCUCGGCUCGGCUCGGCUCGGCUCGGCUCGGCUCGGCUCGGCUCGGCUCGGCUCGGCUCGGCUCGGCUCGGCUCGGCUCGGCUCGGCUCGGCUCGGCUCGGCUCGGCUCGGCUCGGCUCGGCUCGGCUCGGCUCGGCUCGGCUCGGCUCGGCUCGGCUCGGCUCGGCUCGGCUCGCUUGUCCUUGAGGUUUACUGUGUUUGGCAUCGCAGUUCCGACGGCAGCCGCCGUUUCGCGACCCACGGCGGACUUGCAUAAACACUUUCUAGUUGGAAUCUCACCCUGUGAGGUGGGCAAGGUAGUGAUAUUCCUGUUUGACGCCGACAGAAAUAAGAGAGAUUGACUCUCAGAACCAUGUGGCGGGAUUUUAAAGGAGGAUCUUAACAGUGGCUCGGACAGACCCGUGUUUUCUGCUCCUAGCAUUAACUACGUCGUUAAACCCUUCUGAAUUUAUUUCGUCUGUGAAAUGGGGAAAAGAUAGCCACCUUGCAUAACUGGUGAAGAAUUCGUAAACUGACAGCAGAAUCUAGUAAGAGGACUGGCCCGUGGUCGGCUCUUAAUGGUGUGUAUGGGGCUAUGAACAUUCCCAGGUCUUCUGACCUCUAGUCUGGGACUCUUUCUGCUAAACUAGGGAUUCUUAGAGGUCCAGAGACUUCGGGAGAUCCAGGGGCAUCUUCAAGGGGGUCCCUGAGUUCUAAACUGCAGAGGAACACUCUUAAGAGAGAUAAUAAAUAUUUCCACCACAUCUGUUAUGGAUAAUAUAUAUUUUGUCAUCUAUUUGCCAGAGACUGUUGUGUCACAGAAUAAAGAAAAAGACUGGGAGAGAGAUGGGAGCUGAUAGACCAGAGGAGACCAAAGACUGAAACUGAAGACUAAACCAUGGAAAUUGGGAACAAGCACUUACUCGCUUAGAGGGUGAAAAAAGUGAAUUUGCCUACAGGGCCAAUUUGGAAGCACCUCUCCCUGGAAGCCAGUCAAUGAAGAGCCAUUGGAGGAUUUUAAAUAAGGAACCGAAAAAUGGAGUCUGAAAAUAGAGGCGCAGAGACCGGUCAACCACAAUGAAGAACAAGCCAUUUUGACCUCCAUCCUGGCUCAUCUCCUCUGUGUUCUCAUAGCAUCAUAUUAUAGAAUGGAUCACAAACGCCUUUGCAGUUGCCUAUUUAUUUGUCCAUUUCUCCCUCCAGACU
This 2181-nucleotide long non-coding RNA is filed under the name Homo sapiens (human). Its description in RNAcentral is "HSALNT0200860". Lineage: Eukaryota; Metazoa; Chordata; Mammalia; Primates; Hominidae. The record is from RNAcentral.